UACGAAGGGGGCUAGCGUUGUUCGGAAUUACUGGGCGUAAAGCGCGUGUAGGCGGGCCGUUAAGCCGGGGGUGAAAGCCCAGAGCUCAACUCUGGAACUGCCUUCGAUACUGGCGGCCUGGAGCAUGAUAGAGGCGAGUGGAAUUGCGAGUGUAGAGGUGAAAUUCGUAGAGAUUCGCCGGAACACCAGUGGCGAAGGCGACUCGCUGGAUCAUUGCUGACGCUGAGACGCGAAAGAGUGGGGAGCAAACAGG
RNAcentral lists this ribosomal RNA (253 nucleotides) under uncultured bacterium. Its description in RNAcentral is "partial 16S ribosomal RNA". It matches the Rfam family "Bacterial small subunit ribosomal RNA", at positions 524 to 776 of the family's 1533-position model. The record is from RNAcentral.